This 71-nucleotide transfer RNA is filed under the name Planctomycetaceae bacterium. RNAcentral's name for it is "tRNA-Gln". It matches the Rfam family "tRNA". From Rfam's summary of the family: Transfer RNA (tRNA) molecules are approximately 80 nucleotides in length. Their secondary structure includes four short double-helical elements and three loops (D, anti-codon, and T loops). Lineage: Bacteria; Pseudomonadati; Planctomycetota; Planctomycetia; Planctomycetales; Planctomycetaceae. The record is from RNAcentral. RNAcentral also lists the same sequence under 1 other name.
UGCCCGGUGGUGUAACGGUAGCACGAGUGACUCUGGAUCACUUAGUCUAGGUUCGAAUCCUAGCCGGGCAA